UUGGAGGACUGAGCCACCGGUACAGAUGGCGGGGUGGUGUAAAAUUCAGUGUUUUUGAUAAAAUUGAAAGCUUGCGAAAAGGAGGAGGAAGGCUUGAAUAAAGAUUGCGACUUAGGUUGGGAGCUCUCAACCACCUCUUCAUAUGAAGGUAUUUUCACAACAAAUGAUGCAUUAUUCUGUUUCUGCUGCUCAGGAUCACCUCUGUUUUCCAUCUUCACAACUCACUCUCCUAAUUCACCUUUCCAAAAUCCCUCCUUUCAACUUCCUUGAUCAGUUUAAAUCAAAUUUAACAUAAAAUUUACCCAACCUUCAGAACAUUCAAUAAACGCAUACAACCAAAUCAAUUCAGUAAAAAUUCAGCCUUCACUACAGAAAAUUCUACCGAAUUCUUCCGAAGAAGUCUUACGGGACAAAUUACAUCCAUGAAUUACAGCAAAUUAACAACAUAAUUUGUUUCAGAAAGUGGUCGCAUAUAAAUCGACCUAAUUUAGAUGAAGAAGGAGAAGUACCUCGAAUGGAAGAGCAGAAGUGAUGGCGGAACAAUUUAGCCGGAACGGAUGAUGCGCACAGCGGCGGCGGCGGCUUGCUUACCGAUGCUCCAGA
Molecule: long non-coding RNA, 603 nt
Filed under: Salvia miltiorrhiza (redroot sage)
Lineage: Eukaryota; Viridiplantae; Streptophyta; Magnoliopsida; Lamiales; Lamiaceae
Description: long non-coding RNA (SMIL_LNC001474)
Source: RNAcentral